RNAcentral lists this ribosomal RNA (843 nucleotides) under Ophiosphaerella agrostidis. RNAcentral describes it as "partial 28S ribosomal RNA". It matches the Rfam family "Eukaryotic large subunit ribosomal RNA", at positions 76 to 938 of the family's 3401-position model. The record is from RNAcentral. Lineage: Eukaryota; Fungi; Ascomycota; Dothideomycetes; Pleosporales; Phaeosphaeriaceae.
UGCCCUAGUAACGGCGAGUGAAGCGGCAACAGCUCAAAUUUGAAAUCUGGCUCUUUCAGAGUCCGAGUUGUAAUUUGCAGAGGGCGCUUUGGCGUUGGCAGCGGUCCAAGUUCUUUGGAACAGGACGUCACAGAGGGUGAGAAUCCCGUACGUGGUCGCUAGACUUCGCCGUGUAAAGCCCCUUCGACGAGUCGAGUUGUUUGGGAAUGCAGCUCUAAAUGGGAGGUAAAUUUCUUCUAAAGCUAAAUACUGGCCAGAGACCGAUAGCGCACAAGUAGAGUGAUCGAAAGAUGAAAAGCACUUUGGAAAGAGAGUCAAAUAGCACGUGAAAUUGUUGAAAGGGAAGCGCUUGCAGCCAGACUUGCCUGUAGUUGCUUAUCCAGACUUUUGUCUGGUGCACUCUUCUAUAGGCAGGCCAGCAUCAGUUUGGGCGGUUGGAUAAAGGUCUCUAUCACGUACCUCUCUUCGGGGAGGCCUUAUAGGGGAGACGACAUACAACCAGCCUGGACUGAGGUCCGCGCAUCUGCUAGGAUGCUGGCGUAAUGGCUGUAAGCGGCCCGUCUUGAAACACGGACCAAGGAGUCUAACAUCUAUGCGAGUGUUUGGGUGUCAAGCCCAUACGCGUAAUGAAAGUGAACGGAGGUGGGAACCUUUUAGGUGCACCAUCGACCGAUCCUGAUGUCUUCGGAUGGAUUUGAGUAAGAGCAUGGCUGUUGGGACCCGAAAGAUGGUGAACUAUGCUUGAAUAGGGUGAAGCCAGAGGAAACUCUGGUGGAGGCUCGCAGCGGUUCUGACGUGCAAAUCGAUCGUCAAAUUUGGGCAUAGGGGCGAAAGACUAAUCGA